RNAcentral lists this ribosomal RNA (499 nucleotides) under uncultured bacterium. Its description in RNAcentral is "partial 16S ribosomal RNA". It matches the Rfam family "Bacterial small subunit ribosomal RNA", at positions 28 to 507 of the family's 1533-position model. The record is from RNAcentral.
GAUGAACGCUGGCAGCGUGCCUAAUACAUGCAAGUCGAGCGAACAGACGAGAGUGCUUGCACUCUCUGACGUUAGCGGCGGACGGGUGAGUAACACGUGGGUAACCUACCUAUAAGACUGGGAUAACUUCGGGAAACCGGAGCUAAUACCGGAUAAUAUUUAGCUUCGCAUGAAGCAAUAGUGAAAGACGAUUCUGCUGUCACUUAUAGAUGGACCCGCGGUGUAUUAGCUAGUUGGUGAGGUAACGGCUCACCAAGGCAACGAUACAUAGCCGACCUGAGAGGGUGAUCGGCCACACUGGGACUGAGACACGGCCCAGACUCCUACGGGAGGCAGCAGUAGGGAAUCUUCCGCAAUGGACGAAAGUCUGACGGAGCAAUGCCGCGUGAGUGAAGAAGGUUUUCGGAUCGUAAAACUCUGUUGUAAGGGAAGAACAAGUACGUUAGUAACUGAACGUACCUUGACGGUACCUUACCAGAAAGCCACGGCUAACUACGUG